GAGGCGCUGUGGCAGGGCCGGAUGCUCGGAGGCCGAGGGCUUCCGGUGGCGGCCGCUGGGUACCGGGCACGUUCGUGUCGUACAGCGCGGCG
This 92-nucleotide transfer RNA is filed under the name Streptomyces sulfonofaciens. Its description in RNAcentral is "tRNA-Leu". The record is from RNAcentral. Lineage: Bacteria; Bacillati; Actinomycetota; Actinomycetes; Kitasatosporales; Streptomycetaceae.